RNAcentral lists this small RNA (8131 nucleotides) under Pyricularia oryzae. RNAcentral describes it as "Magnaporthe oryzae sRNA M_BR32_EuGene_00030881". The record is from RNAcentral. Lineage: Eukaryota; Fungi; Ascomycota; Sordariomycetes; Magnaporthales; Pyriculariaceae.
UAGUAUUUCAAAUUAUAUAAUAUUGAUUUACUGGUAAACCCAGUUAAAUAUUACUAAUAAAACACGUUAUAACUACUUUCUUUACCUAGCAAAAUUAAAGACGCAACAAUCGUAAAACUUAUUCUUAAAUUAUCCGAUAUAAAAUAUAAUUCUACUAUAACAAACCUUUUUUCAUUAUAAUAAAGAAAUAAUUUAAAAUGGCGUGUUUUGUACCCAUUAACCUAAUACAAAUAUUUUCAAUUUGCUUAAUCUUUCACGAAAAAAAUAAAAUAUUAUUAUAAACUUAUAUGAAAUAUUAUUACGGAUACAAAUAAAUUAUUAAUAAGCGAAUUCGGUAAAAAAACUUACAUUAUAAAUUAAAUAUUAAAAACCCGUAUUUAUAAUAUUUUAUCCGCAAAUAAACAGGCAAACCAAGAGAUUUAAUUAAAUUACUAAUUAAUAUUACAAAUAUUACGCCAAAAACUAAGAAAUAAUUAGGUACAAAUUGUACCCAUAAUAAAAAAUAAGUAUUAAUACGCAUACCAGAAUAUAACAAACAUAUUACCUAUAAUAAUAUUUAUGAAUAAAAAUGAAGUUUUUUAUUUAAAACCAGGAAACCUAUAAUUAAAAAAGGGAUAAACAAUAUAUUUACAAAAUAAACCAGGUUUAAAAGAUUUUAUUCAUUGGAUAAUAACCUGCUAAACAAACUGGAUGUAAAUAAUGGAACGAUACAAAAAUAUUAUAGUAGAAAAUAUAAAUUUGUACCAGUUAAACGGGGCGAUUGGAUAAAAUUAUUUAUUUGCAAUAUUAAAUUUUUGAAAACACAGGAUUUAAAUCCAAAUAUAUAGCAAUUGUUAAAAGGUUUUACAGCGUUGGAAAAUAAAUAUAUAGUUUGGUCUUACUAAUAUAAUUUAACCAAUUAUAUAAUAUUUUCUUAAUAUAGUUUUUUAAAUUAUUAAAACGCAAACACUUAAAUAAUUCCAAAAUUAUAUUCUGCCCAGAAUUUACAAAAAAGAAAUUAGGAAGACGAAAAAAUUGAAGAAUAUAUAGUAAAAAUAACAUUAUAUUUUAUCUUAGCUAAUAAUUAAACUGGCCAAUGCAAUAUAAUUAAUAAAUACCCGAAAACAACUUAUUUGCAAAAAACAUAAUAUAUUAAUUUCUACAAAAUAAUUUAAGAAAGUUAAAUUAAAUGGAGAAUUAUUAUUACAAAAGAAAAAUGCAGAGAUUAAACGGACAAAACGCAAAAGAGGGAAGUUUCUCCAAAUUUAAUUAAUAUUGACAAAUUAUAUAUUAAAAAAACAACCACUAACCCCAGAUAUAAUUUUAACAUUUAUCAGGCCAUUUGAAAGGCGCACGGAAACGCUUUUUAAAAAUACCCAAAUUGAAAAUAACUCCCAUUUAAUAUUACCCAAGAGAAUAAACAAAAAAUACGUAUUACGUGCAAAUUUAUUAGUGCCUAAACACUAGCGUAUUAACCUAGGGGCUGGGGUUUUGCUAAACCUGUAAAUUCGCGCUACGUAAACGUAAUAAAAAUGCCGCCUAUAAAUAAAAGCUCCUUAAUUUUAAAAGUUACAAAUUAAUUCUAAGUUUUUAAAAAUUAAUUUUCAAUUCGAAUAUUAUUAUUAUAAUACCAUAAUGGAUUAUUAUACACUGUAUUAUUACCUUAUAUUCUGCUGGUUAACACAUAUUUGAUUUCUACCCGAUCCCCGGUGGUAAAUAUAAACAAAAUCUGAAAUUAUGUAAAUAAUAAACCAAAGUUUUGAACCAAUUUAAAAUUAGAAAAAAGCUAAAAUUUAAAUGGUUAAAAACAAAAAUACGCAAAAUGAAAUUUUUCCAACCCCUAUUAUUAUAUUUAUUAGCGAAUUUAAUACUCCAAUUUUACCCCAACGUCCCAAAUUUUAAAUUUCGCUUCGGUUAUAAAAUUCACCUGAAAUUAUUAUUAAAAUGGCCAUGAAUAUGCGUGCAAAACCUAAUUUAAUUGAAAAGUAUUUAGGUUAUAAUAUUAAUUAUAUUUGCCAAUUUAUAAAAUACAAAUUAUUAUUAAUAUAAAAUAGGAAAAAAUUAUUAUUAAAGAAAUUUAUUUUGUACGGUUAUAAAUUACCAACUUUUAAUAUAUUUUAAAAGGAUGGAACGUUUAUAUAUUAUUAUUUUGAAACAAAGGGAAAACCUUUUUAUUAUUUGGGGGAAACCGGUUUGGGUAAAUAUAAUUAUUAUUAUAAAUUAUCUUACGCACUAAUGGUAAUUUAAUAUAAUUAAAAAAGAUUUCAAAUAUAUAAUAACACCAGAAUAUUUUUCUCUUUAAUUAAAAAAUAUGCACGGGUUUAUAUUGUUAUUUUAAUAAAGUAUAUAUAUUUUAUUUUACCCGACGAAAGUGAGGAAAAGAACCUUUUUUCAAACGAAAAAUUAUUAUAUUACAUAAGUAUUAAAAUUGCAAAAAUAUUGUUCAGAAAAAGCAAUUGAAAAUAUAUUUAUUAAUAUCAACGCGGUUUAUUUUAUUAAUUUAAUUUAAUAAAGAUAUUCCCGUAUUUGCUUAUAUAUCUUCUACUACCAGAGGAAUUCGCCGAAUAAUAAAAAGAUAAUUAAAACAAAUUAAAAUUUAAACGUAUUUGCAAAUUUAACCAUUUUGCAAAAAUAUUUAUUUUUUUAUUCCCAAAAAAGGUGUUUUGCGUUUUUGCGUGGAUUAUUACGAUUUAAAUUAGGUUACCCAAACAAACAGGUAUUUUUUAUUUUUAAUUGCAAAUAUUGUAAACCGCGUGCAAAAUUCGCAAUAAUAUACUAAAUUGGCUAUUUAAAAUAUAUAUUAUAAAGUUUGUAUUAGGGAAAGACAUAAAUGAAAAAUUGCUUUUCGCAUUUGUUAUAAUUAUUUUAAAUAUAUUAUUAUAUUUUUCAGCUUUAGCAACGCCCUAACAAUCUUCUAAAACUAUAUAAAGGAAAGAUUGGGAAAUUUUAUAAAUUAUUAUUGCGUUAUAUAGUUGGAUAAUAUUUUGAUUUUUCCUUUAAUAAAAAUGUUAUAAAGGAUAUAUGUACGGAAAAUUUUGGAAAAACUUAGGGGAGCGAGCCUUUACGUCAAAUUAUUUAAAUGCGAAUCUUAUAUGCAAAAAACUGAUUUUGGAUUAUAUAAUUAAAAUUUAAUAAAUAUUUAUAAAUCCACGCAGGGUAACCGUUAUUCAAAAAUAGCGUGCACUUAGAUUAAGUUAUAAUAUUUAGGUUUUUUAGGGCCUUCGUAAUUUUUAUCGUUUUUUUAUUUGUCGUUAUUUAUCCAUUGUACGUUCUUUAUUAUAUUUGUUUAAAAUUAUAAAAAAAGUAUAAAAACCCGGAAAUAUAAUAUUUUCAAAAAUAUAACAUUGUUUUAAUAGCGUUUAAAAAAUAAAAAAUUGCGUUUUUUCAAGCGUUUUUAUUACGUUGUUACAAUCUUUUAUUUUUUAUAUAUUUGGAAAUUUAUAUUUUAAUAAAUACGUAGGGGGCGAUUUUAUUACAAUUUUUUAAACAUGGUUGGCACUUUGCCAUUUUCCAAUCCAAAAAAUGGUUUGGAACCUAAUUAAAGUAGUGUACCCCGGAUUAGAAAAAGAAUCUUAUAAACGAAGUUUUUAAAUGUUGGAAAUAUUAUUUAAAAAAUAAUAUAUCACUUAUAAUUAUAAUUACAAAUUAUUAAAAUUUGCAAAGUUUUAUUAAAUAGCCAAAUUUAAUGGCAAAUAAACGCGUUAGAUAAUAUAUUUGUUUUUUCUUCGAUUUUAAAAUUAUUUAUCGUGAAAAAAAGCAAGCUCCUGUGCGUCGAAUUAAUCUAAUUAUAAAAUAUCUAUUAUUAUAAACGGUUUUAUAUUUUUAUUGCAAAAAGAAUUGUUAAUACGGGGCUGAAAUAAAAGAGAAAUUGGUAAUUUCCGCUUAUUUGAAAAUGUUUCGCAACCUAACUAAAUUAUUUUACCUUUUUGGGUUAAUUAUAUACGCGAAUAUAUAUAAUUAUUCGCGUGAAAACGAAAAAUGUAAUAAAAGUAAAGGUUUUUACCAUAUAUUCUUAAAACCCAUUGAAAAUUUAAUUAAGAACUUGCAAUAAAAUUAUAAAUAAUUUUAACAAUUUUACAAAAAAAGAAAAAAUAAUCAAAUUGUAGCCCUAAAUAAUAUUUUUUAUUACAAAUCGAGAUUUUACGUAACAAUAAAUGGUAAUAUAAAAAAGGAAUCUCUGGAGCGUUAUUAUAAUAAUUAUAUAUUGGAUAUUAGGAAAUCGGUAAAAUUUUUAAAUUAAGUUGGAAGGAAUAUUAUUAGGAACAAAUAAAAAGAAUAUUAAUUUGUAUUAAAAAUUGUGCAAUAUUAAUAUAAUAAAAGAACUGGUAAAAUACCGCUAAUACGGUAUAUUAUAAUUCUUAUUUUUACCCUGGAAAAUUUGGGACGAAAUAUUUAUGGAUUUUAUUGUUCAAUUACCCAAUAUAAAAGACAAUUUUAUUACGGUGGAUAUUAUUCUAACUAUAAUAAAUAAGUAAAUUAAAAUGGCGCGGUUUUUAUUUUUAAAAAUAAUAUAAGUAUUCUCGAAUUUAUUUAAUCUUGUACCAGACAAAUCGAAUAAUAAUAUAGAUUUUUAUCAAAUAUUAUUACAAUUAAAAAUCAAUUAUUUACGAGUAGAUUUUCGAAAAGAUUAUAUUACAAGUUAAAUAUAAAAGAAUACAUAUUUAUAAUAUCCCAUUUGCAGCUAAACGGGCAACUUGAAAAGUUUAAUCAAACAAUUAAAUAAUAAUUUAAAUAUUACGUAGGAAAAUAAUAAAAUAUUUGGGCCCAAUUUCCACCUAUAAUUAAAUACGCAUAUAAUAACGCACCCUAAAAUAUAAUAUGUAUAUCGGCUAUAAUGGUAUUUAUGGGUAAAUAUGGAAAUUUCCAUUUAACACCCGUAAACGUAUUAUUAAAGAAAGGGAUAAAGUUUAUAUUAACAAUGCAAAAUAAAUUUAAACGCUGGAACAAUAUAAAAAAUAUUAUAAUAAAGAUAUAAAAUGAUGAAAUUAAACGAGGUAAUUGGGUGUAAUUAUUUAUUCGCGAUAUUAAAUAAGAAAAAGAAUAUAAAAUUUAAAUUUAAAUAUAUAUUGGGUUUUUUAGUAUUUUAUGUAAAGUGGGAGAAUGAAUGUAUCGCUUGGUUUUAUUAAUAUAAUUUAAUAAGUAACACGAUAUUUUUCCAACACAACCUUUUAAAUUAUAAAAACCCAGGAACCCAAACGAUUAUAAAAUUAUAUUUUGGCCCAAAUUUGACAACGAGGAAAAUAAGAACGUGUAAGAUAUUAAAGAUAUAUAAAUUAAAAGUAGUAUUAUUAUUAUUUGGUUAAAUAAUUUAAUUAGCCAACCGAAUAUGUUUAAAAAAUUCCCGAGGAAGAUUUAUCUGGAAUAAAUAAAAUAAAGCAAUUUCUAUACAAAUAAUUCGAAAAAGCCAAACCAAAGGUAAAAUUAUUAUUACAAAAUAAAAACGCAGGGGUUGAACGCACAAAACGCCCAAAAAACAAAGUUCUUCCGAAUUUAAUUAAUGUUAGCAAAUUAUUUAUAAGAAAAACCCGUAUUAAACCCAUAUUUAAUUUUGACGUUUAUUAAACAAUUCCAGAAACACACCAAAACGCUUUUUGGAAGACAACCCAAUCGAAAAUUAAUCCCGUCUAAUUGUACCAAAAAAACCAAACGUAAAACGCGAAAAAUUACACUAUUGGUAAAAAAACCGUUAUUUCGUUAAAAGGUAAGGCGAAAAGAAAUAAGAUGGCUUUUAUUAAAGCGAGGAAAUUUGAACCUAUUAUUAGUACGGCGAAACAAUUGGUUAAUUAUAAUUUUGGCGCCAAAAAUACGGGUAAACCUAUUUAAUAUAGUAAAUUUACGUUUUUUAAUACUUUAGUAAAUUUGGUCCGGAUUAGAUAUAAUAACGACGCCAGAUUUUAAUAUAAAAAGAAUCCCCAAUGAAAAAAUAAUAACCGGAAAAACACAGCCGAAUUUUUGAAAUUAACCAAGGACGGGAAAAUUACUAUAAAUUUAAAUUUAAAUAAGCCUAAAAAAACGACAGCAUUUGAACAAGGACCAAAUAUAUUAUUAAGAAUAAAAAUAUUAUUAUUAAUUACGGGUAUAAAAUCCCGAAAAGGACAAUGGGGUUCCACCCACGCCAUCUUUUAUUAUUUCCAAUAUAAUUAUAUUUUUUCGAAUUUUAUUUUUAUUAUUUGAAAAACGCGAUAAUAAAAAAACAACAAUGUAAAUUAAAAACCGUCAAAAUAUAAAAUAUACGUUAUCAAACCGUUUGGGAAAAACAAGGGGUUAAUUUAAAAGUUUUUCAAAUAAAAACAUUAAAAUUUACCAAAUUAAAAAUGUAAAAUUUAUAGUUCCAGGGUAAUAGUUCCUAACCGUUUUAGUUCCGUUCAAAAUAUACAAAUAAUUGGUUUUAUUUUUAAAUAGGCUAAUUUGGCCGAAAAAGUUGCGUUUGUUAAUUGUAAAAUAUUUGGCAAAUAAUAUAAAAUAUAUAAAACCCCUAAAUAACUUUUUAACUUUUCUAAAUAACUUUUUACCGGCGUCAAAUUGGGUGACGAAAUUUAUAAUAUUAAAUAUAUAAAAAGGGUUGACAAAAUUGCCUUUUAUAAUUAUUAUCGCCUGAUAUAAAUUAAUUGACAGAAUUGCAAAUUAGUAAAAAAUAAAAAAAGGCAGAAAUAACGCAGUUUGCUAAUUUGCAAAUACAAAAAAUAAUUAUAAUAAAACCUUUUUUUUAUAUUUUACCCGCUUUAAAUAAACGUUCCUUAAAUAUAUUUCAAAUCGGGGGAAUAUACGGUAUUUUUGGCGAUUUUAAUAACGAGACGAAAACAUUUUAUAUAAAUAAUGCGGUUAUAAAUUAUACGAAUACCAGCGUUAAUAUGAGCCGAAACCUGGGAACCGCGGGCGUUUUUUAGGUUAAAUUUGCCGCAAAACCAGGUGUAAAAAUAUAAUAAAAACUAAUAUAAAAUUUAAUUUAAUAUUAAAAAACGGGAUUAAAACGCAAAAAUAACGCGAGUGGAAAGUUUUAUAAUAUUUCGUAUUGGAAAUAAAAACAAAGGAAAAAGAAAUUUGAUUGAAAGUUUUUGCGGUAAAAAUUAAAAGGGUAAUUAACGUUUACGUUAAAUGGGGUUUACAAAUUGCUAACGUUAUAUUUAAUUUUUUAUAACGAAUACCGCCGAUUACCAAUGCGAAUUUACGCCGCACAAUUGCAUUUUAUUUACGUUUGUCAAAAAUUACCCCGUUAUAUAUUUAAAACUGUUAUUUAGGACGAAAACGCCAUUAUUAACAAAGGGAAUAAUUAUUACGUGCAAAUUUAUUUAUAUUUAAAUAUUAACGUAUAAUUUUGGGGGCUGAGUUUUGCUGAAUUUAUAAAUUCGCGUUAUGUAAGCGCAGUAGGACAGUCGUUUAUAAAUAGGGGUUUCUAAAUUUUAAAAGUUGCAGGUUAAUUUUGAAUUUUUUAAAAAUUAGUUUUUAAUUUAAAUGCUAUUAUUAUAAUAUUAUCGUGGAUGAUUAAACGUUGUAUUAUUACCCUGUAUUUUGUUGGUUAGCGUGUGCCUAACCAGUACCAAGUCCCCGGUCGUUAUAAUAUAAAAAACUACCCUAUUAAUAAAAAUAAUUAUGUUUUAUUAAUAAUUAAAACAAAGCACAAUAGCGGGGUUUGUAAUUAAACGCGGAAAUUUAAAUUUAUUAUAAAAAUAACAGCACGAUAAAUUAAUUUCGGUCCCAGUAUUAAAAAUAUUGUAAAGUUUACCUAAAAUCCAAAUUUGCAUUUUUCAACCAUUUAUUAAAGAAUUUCUAAUUCGGAAAUAAAAAUAACGAAAAAUUUAAAUAUAAACCAAGCCAUGUUUUAAAACGAGGUAAAUGUAAGGGAAUUAAUAGAUUAUUAGAGUUGAUAAACCGCAGGGAAAUUAAUAAACCUGUCAAAUUAAUUAAACAUAGUAAAUUUAAUAGGGUUUCCAAUGUUAAAAAAGAAAGUUACAAAUUUUUAUAUGGAAUUAUAAUUCGAUUUUAAAAAUCAAUUUAAAAUAAUUAAGGCGAUUUGAUAUAAUUUAUUUAAAAUAGGUUGUAAUUUGACUUUUAUAUUAAAAAAUAGUUUAUUUGAAUAACUUGCUAUAUUUCAGGGUAUAAUAUUUAAUAUAAAUCAAAUAUUUAUAAAUAUAAUAUUUAUUUACAUAAUAUA